GCACUUCCCAACAGCAUUACUGAUUGGGCAUCAAGCAUUUAAUACAUGGACAUUUUGGGUAUAUUUUAGAUCCAAGCUCUAGCACCAUGAUUUUAACCAAUUAAUAAAAGAACCAGGAGGAUAGUAGACCAGUCCAAAAUGCAUUUGAGAAACCAGAUUUAGAUAGGUAAUUGAAUUGAUUUCUACCUUAAAUAUUAGCUAACUCUCUAGAAGGGCCAGGUGUAUAAUCCUUGGAUUUCUUCUGGAUAGAAAUUGUCUCCCAGCAGGAUAAAUACACAGUGGCAAAGUUUAUUUGAAAAAGUAACAGUGAAGCGUGAGGAAGAAACUGGCUCUGCCGAGCAAGCUUGGACCGAGGAAAGGAGGACAAAGCAAGAUAAAAGUACACCCUGGAGGAAGCAGGGUGAGGUAUUGUG
RNAcentral lists this long non-coding RNA (413 nucleotides) under Chinchilla lanigera (long-tailed chinchilla). Its description in RNAcentral is "lncRNA (ENSCLAG00000024196.1)". Lineage: Eukaryota; Metazoa; Chordata; Mammalia; Rodentia; Chinchillidae. The record is from RNAcentral.